This 207-nucleotide ribosomal RNA is filed under the name uncultured bacterium. Its description in RNAcentral is "partial 16S ribosomal RNA". It matches the Rfam family "Bacterial small subunit ribosomal RNA", at positions 568 to 774 of the family's 1533-position model. The record is from RNAcentral.
CGCGUAGGUGGUUUAUUAAGAUUGUUGUGAAAUCCCUGGGCUUAACCUAGGAACUGCAACGAUGACUGGUAGGCUUGAGUAUUGUAGAGGGUAGUGGAAUUUCCGGUGUAGCGGUGAAAUGCGUAGAGAUCGGAAGGAACACCAGUGGCGAAGGCGGCUACCUGGACAAAUACUGACACUGAGGCGCGAGAGCGUGGGGAGCAAACA